UACUUAGGCAGCGAGCGUUGUUCGGAUUUACUGGGCGUAAAGAGUGCGUAGGCGGUUUUCUAAGUUUGGUGUGAAAUCUCCCGGCUUAACUGGGAGGGUGCGCCGAAAACUGGAAGGCUUGAGUAUGGGAGAGGUAAGCGGAAUUCCUGGUGUAGCGGUGAAAUGCGUAGAUAUCAGGAGGAACACCUGCGGUGUAGACGGCUUACUGGACCAUAACUGACGCUGAGGCACGAAAGCGUGGGUAGCAAACAGG
Molecule: ribosomal RNA, 253 nt
Filed under: uncultured bacterium
Lineage: Bacteria
Description: partial 16S ribosomal RNA
Rfam family: Bacterial small subunit ribosomal RNA
Source: RNAcentral